Molecule: long non-coding RNA, 4836 nt
Organism: Triticum aestivum (bread wheat)
Lineage: Eukaryota; Viridiplantae; Streptophyta; Magnoliopsida; Poales; Poaceae
Exons: 5
Source: RefSeq, a predicted model, not a curated record
AAAAGCAACGCAGCCACCUCUCCUCUCCUCGCUCACCUCCUACUCUCCCCCACGCCGCCCCUUCUCUCUCCCCGCUCGUCUCCUCUUCCCUCGACGCCGGCUCCCCUGUCCUCGCCACCUCUCCUCCUUUUCCUCCUCUCUCUCCCGCGCCGCCGUUCUGCCCCCAUCCACCCGUGCUCGACCCCGAACCUGGAUCCCAGCCCACCGGAUCGGAGGCGUCUGGGCGUGGAGGCGAGCUUUUCCGACGGCAGCGAUGACCACCAUCCAGGCCCCCUUGCUCACGGUGGAUAGGCUACGACCGAGGGGACGCAGAGGAGUAGCGGGCCUCGCGGAGGAGGGGCCGCAGCUGCGGGAGCUCUCCACGGAGGAGGAUUCCGUGGCGGUGGCGCGGAAGUAGCAGUGGAGGCCGGAAGAGCGCGGCGCGGCAUCACGUGGCUGCGGUGGCCGAAGGGGCGGCGCGGCGUUGCUGCCUCUACCUCCAUCCUGACCUUUUUACUCGCGCGCAGGUACCAAGUCGUCUCUCUCUCUCUCUUGAUUUGAUCCCCAUAAAUUCUCAUCUUCACCUAUGUGGAUUUUGUUUAUCUAUGCCUGCUAUGUGUUUGAAAAAAAUCCAAUCAGUAUGAGGAGAAGAUUUUGUGGUUGAUUUAGUUUUUAGGAUCUGCCGCCCCCUUUUUUCAUUUUUGCAACAACCUGUUUCAUGACGAGACCCAUCAAUUAUCUUUUCAUAUUUUGACAGUACUAUAUUGUUUACUUUGUGGAACUUUAGUUACCUGUAAGAUGCAAUCAACACCUUGAAAUAUUUGGUGUUUCUCGGUGCUCUGUCGUUGACCAUAAAAUCAUGAAAGUUUGUUAAUAACUUAGAAGGAUAUGAUUCCAGCAAUGUGUUUCACGCAUAUUAUGUACUAUUAGUGUGUGAACAAUAUUUUUCACGGGCUAUACUUUUCUCAGCAUGUUUCUAUCUGGUUGGUAUCCGCUGGUACCAUUCAUUGUGAGUGCUUUUAGGGGUUGCUCAACUCUCGGCUAUUUUCACCAUCUAAAUGAUUGCAUCUUCCCAUUCUCACAAUUUCUCAAAGGUUAUUGUAUUGAUACUAUGGAAUUUAUAGUGAAAAAACAAUAGGGUUCAAUUCGAUUCAUUUUGGAAACUCUAGCGGGGCCAUCCCAAAUUCCUCUCAGCUGUCAUAAUUGAAUAAAAGGGAUCGUAUAGCUUUCCAAUCCAGCAACAUACAUCUAUCACCUAGGCAUAACUGCCAACAUCAGCAAGUGCAUUUGCUCGUAAGGACCAUUCGAAGGCCAAGGCCACAGCUUACUGCGUACUGCAGCUCGGAUUGAUCUUGGGGCAUCGCCUGGGCCUACUUCUUGGAGUUGGCCUCCAUACAGGUUCGAGAUUAUUUACAGAAGACCAUGGUGUACUGCAUCAUAUCUACAUGGCAACACCGGUACAGUUACAGUGUGCUGAAUCAUAAGAGUACUACAACUCUGAAUCUUGAAAUGUUAAUAUUUACGUUCUCAUGAUUUUCUUGCAGUUCAUAGUACUUGCGAGUAUACCCCUAAAAAAUUAGUACUUGAGAGUACGACAAUCUUUUCUUUUGUUUGAUUACCUCAAGGCAAUCUCUUGAACUAAGCAGAGUUAUGUUUCCUAUGUACAGUUUGUUGCUCUCGCUCAACCAAUCAAUGCUUUAGCUUUUGUUUUUGACGGUGUCAAUUAUGGAGCAUCGGAUUUUGCAUAUGCUGCUUAUUCGUUGGCAAGUCCGCUAAUUUUCCAGCUUAUUUGUGCUCUGGCUUUCCAGCUUUCUCUUCUGACACAUUCCAUUGAAUUAGAGAAAAGUAUUCUUUUCAUCUCUCAAUUUUUGGCGAAGUCUAGAUUUAAUCCUUCAACUAUGAAACCGGACAACUUGCAUCUCAAACUCUUAAUACCGGACAAAUUUCGUCCCUUGUAGCAGCCGACCUAAUUUUGUUGCUUACUUGGCGUAGUGUUUGACUGGUUUUGACCGGUUCACGCCAACAUGGCAAAGGAGAUGGUAAAUCGCUCUUCGCUUCGGAACAAAAAAUAGCUUGCACCGGCGCCGGCGAUCUGGACGAUGCGGGUGCCAGCGAGGAGAGACUGCGCGAUGCCUGGGAGCGAGCUGGGCUGUCCGUGCGGCUGGACAAGCAAGCACGGGCACACGGAAUGGCCAGAGCUUCGUCGGCGACGACGUCCAGUGGAGGCAACGGGCGGCGCCAUGCAGGCAGCGAGCUAGAUGGCAUGGGGUGGCUCGGGGAGAGAGACUAAACGACCAUGGGUUCAUCUAUAGCACGUACACGUGCUCAGACGUGGCGGAUAAGCACCAGAGCGACGGCUGCGUCGACGGCAGCGGGCGGCGGAGCAUAGGCUCGCGGCUGGCUGAGCUCGUGGACGAGGGGCUUCUUUGGGAGGACGUGCGAGGCUUCAGUAGGACCACGGGGAGCUUAGGAAGCCGACAGGAAGAACCAGAGGUUGCCGGACGAGGAGCUCGCGGCGCGGCGAUGGUCACCGGAGUCGAGGAAGACGAUUUGGGCAGCGGCGAUUUAGGGCCUCGGCGUCGCUUCCUUUGGUUUUGUUACUAGAACGGCGAGGUGAAGCGUCUUGAUAUGGCGAGCCGUGGAGGAGGCCUAUGCCGCUACGGGCAACCCGUGCUGCUCACAACGAGUUGCAAAACGAUUCCCUCCUGCCGGCACAAUAACAGACACCAGCUGGCACAGCAACUAAAGACACAGGCGCUCCAUACCCCCUUGAGCGCUGGCUCGGCGCCAUCGCCGCCGGCAUCCUAGCAUGCCGCGGCAGCGCUUGUCGCCGGUGCACUCUAAGUGCUCGAUGAAAUGCCCAUUAGAGAGACAAUAGGAGGGAAGAAGAGAUAGGACAAGUAGGAUAGAAAAAUACUGCCACCUAGACAAUGACCGGUCAAAAACAUGCCAAGUCAGCUUGGAAACCGCUCCGGUUGUGUGGAGGGACGAAAUUUGUCCGGUAUUAAAAGUUUGAGGUGCAUGUUGUCCGGUUUCAUAGUUGAGGGACUAAAUCUAGAUUUCAUCAAGAGUUGAAGGAUGAAAAAUAUACUUUUCUCAUUGAAUUAUGUAUCCUCAGAUACUUGUGGCUGUUGUCAGCAUCGCUUGCAUUGUCACCCUCGCCAGUUAGAGUGAUUUCAUUGGAAUCUGGAUAGCCUUGUCCAUCUACAUGUGCCUCCGCAUGUUUGCAGGAUUAUGGAGUAUUGGGACUGCUAUCGGGCCAUGGGCUUUCCUUCGCAGCUGAACAUGUAACGUACAUUCUCGUAGAUAGUAUAAGGUAGGUAGAAUAUUUAUACUUGUAAGCAACUUUGGAGUUCAGACUAAGAUUUGGUGUGUCAGUAUAUGAAAUCUACUAUAAAUCAAAAGCCAAUAUAAAGGUAUGCUCCACCUUGAUUGUCGUUACUAUGUUCCACUCCUAUAUCGACCAGGGGAAGUUGUAUAUUAUGCCAAUUUUUCCUUCAAUUACUACUGUGUUUAGAGUGUACGUAUCGAAUGAACCAAUUCCUUCAGUUAUAUCAGUACAUAUUAAAACGAAAGGGUGUAUAUGAACAUAAGCAUUCAUACGAACUAAAAUUGUUUGGCAUUCAUUCCUUUCCUGCGGGUCAUUCAUCAUCUCGUCUCACAACACUCAUGCCACAUAACCUGGCGAGCUCACACCUUACUCAGUUCUAUGUACCAGCUAUGUAGAUUCAUUCACCGAACUGAGAUGAUGUUUGUGCUCAGUUAGAUGCUGCUUGCUCGAUUUUGACCAUGCUUGCUGCAAUAAUCAAUCUAUUUGAUAUGAGACCUAUUUGUUCUUUGUUGACGUUUGGUUACAAAUCCUGGAGCUAUUCUUUUUGUAUUGAGAAUAUUACCUUUUAUCACCUUAUUUGGCUGCAGUUCAUCUUUCCCAUUAGUUGUGUUAGUAAACUAAACUGAGAAUGUUUGUUAACUUUUUAUGGCUUGGGAUCUUGCAGCUGCUGCGGCUCGCUGUUUGUGUGGUGAGGGUUACUUCCCCUGGUGCAGUAAUACCAUUUUGGAGUGUCCCUUGUUUGCAACUAUAUUUAUCUACAGCCUCUGCUAACAGGGCUCCGGUUCAGAGAAAAUCAAAGGGUCAAACAAAGCUCGGAUGCACGUUUGUUGGUAGAUCAGUUUAAGUUGCUUUUAUUGAACCAAAAGUUAAUGUUGUUGGCCUUGCCAGCCUGCCAGCCCUCAAAGAGGUCGUUCAGCCUCGAAGGAGAGGGGAACUGAUGGAUGCUAGGGAAAGAAACUAGGUGAAGCUCUGAUGCUUGAUCGAGAACCAGAUGCUUUCAAAGUUCUUCUGGUUGAGUCGUUUACUUACUAGCAAUGACAUUCACAAUGGGAAGCCUUUAUAGCAGGCUACUUUGAUUGAUUCCCAAACUAUGGCUUAGUUACAAAUGUUUUGGCGGUGAUGUUUCAUACACCAGUCCAGUGUUGCUACCCAAUGAUGAGUUGUAUGAAGCACUUUGAAAUGCUUUGAAGAAAGUCUUUUAGGUGGCGGUUCUACUGCUGCUACUCCUGUGACAGCCAAGGCGUAGGUUGCAGCUCGCAGAAUUUUAAGGAGGAAAGGAAGACAUGAUUUCUUAUUGGUGAGGUGAGUUGUUUCCUUCAUAUACAAAUUGCAGCGAUGACAGACACUCACUGUGCUUGUUUGUUCAUGUAGAAAGUCAUUUGUUUUCAGUAGUAGAAACAUCUUGAUUAACCUAGCUGAAUUUUGUGGCUCAGUAGCCGCCUCCUGUAUGUAGGCAUGUUUAGAUCUUUUGUAGAAUCAGAUUGUUAAUAUUUCCUUAGAAGUAAAAAAGGUUACCUUUUGCAUUA